Spinacia oleracea (spinach) is the source of this 744-nucleotide long non-coding RNA. RefSeq lists it as uncharacterized. Lineage: Eukaryota; Viridiplantae; Streptophyta; Magnoliopsida; Caryophyllales; Amaranthaceae. The transcript has 4 exons. The record is from RefSeq and is a predicted model, not a curated record.
UAAAAAUUAUCCCAAAAACAUUUCAUUUCCCCGCUUCUCCUCCUUCCCCUUCUCUGGUUCUCUUCUUUUACCCUAACCUCCUUUUUUUCAUUUUCUCGUUUCUCAUCCAUCCCCUCCUAUGGUUCACUACUUAUCUGUUUCUAACAAGCCGCGAAACUAAGUCGCGUCGCCGUUGUUGUUCCCCCACCACUAAACACUUCCUCUUCCUAUCGCGUUCUCGCUGAUGUUCCCCCACCGCAGAACUAUUCCUCUUCCUGCCGCCGCCGCAUCACACAUGCGUCGCUCCUCCGUGUCGCUGAUUUUUUAAAGUAAUUUUGAGCCAUGGAGGAAGUUAUUGAAAAGCAAAGGGUGUAAAUUUCGUAGAGGUAAAGGAGUUACAGAUUUCUUCUUAAGUGAAGAAACAGGUUGUGUUUCAGAUGUACUGUGUGGGAAUGGCAGAAUAAAAGAUGAUGCAGUGAUCUUGGUUGUGGCUAUCUCCAGCCUUCAGGAAAUCAUACAACAAAGACAAAUCUCUUCCUCCAUUCAGCAUGUUCUGCUAGUGGUGUUAAGGUAUUCAACAAUCCGAGGGAGCAACCUUUUACCAUUGAGUAGAUAAAUGAAGUUCGAGAAAAGUUGGCAAAGUUCAUUACCAUUUAUUGUCUUUGAUAUUUUCAUGUAGUGAAUCUUAGAUUAUGGAUUCUAGUUUUUCAUAGGAUUGUAAUGUAAUCAAUUUUUAUAUUUAUAAUUAUAUACUAUUCAAUUUAA